This 707-nucleotide ribosomal RNA is filed under the name uncultured euryarchaeote. Its description in RNAcentral is "bacterial SSU rRNA". It matches the Rfam family "Archaeal small subunit ribosomal RNA", at positions 126 to 836 of the family's 1478-position model. Lineage: Archaea; Methanobacteriati; Methanobacteriota. The record is from RNAcentral.
AUACCCUCGGAAAACUGAGGCUAAUACUUGAUAGGGGAAUUCUACUGGAAUGUGUUUUCCUUAAAAAGCAAUGCCCAAGGAUGAGUUGGCGGCGGAUUAGCUUGUUGGUGGGGUAAUGGCCCACCAAGGCAUUGAUCCGUAGGGGCCUUGGAAGAGGUAGCCCCGAGAAGGACACUGAGAUACUGGUCCUAGCCCCACGGGGUGCAGCAGGCGCGAAAACUUUACACUACACGAAAGUGUGAUAAGGGGAUUCCAAGUGCGUAUACACAUGUAUACGCUUUUUAUUAGGGCAAAGUCCUAGUAGAAUAAGUGGUGGGUAAGACCGGUGCCAGCAGCCGCGGUAAUCCCGGCGCCACAAGUGGGGAUCAGGGUUAUUGGGCCUAAAGCGUUCGUAGCAGGUCGGAUAAAUCUCUUGUGAAAUUGUUGGGCUUAACCUAACGGCGUGCAGGAGAGACUGUUCGACUAGAGACCGGGAGGGGUAGAGAGUAUUCCUUGGGGAGCGGUAAAAUGCUAUAAUCCUUGGAAGACUACCUGUGGCGAAGGCGCUCUACCAGAACGGGUCUGACUGUGAGGGACGAAAGCCAGGGGAGCAAUCCGGAUUAGAUACCCGAGUAGUCCUGGCUGUUUCUCUGCGAGCAAGGUGUUGCAUAUUCUAAUAUGAAUAUGCAGUGUCGAAGAGAAGUCGUUAAGCUCGCCGCCUGGGAAGU